CCUACGGGUGGCAGCAGUGAGGAAUAUUGCUCAAUGGGCGCGAGCCUGAACCAGCCACGUAGCGUGAAGGAUGACUGCCCUACGGGUUGUAAACUUCUUUUAUAAAGGAAUACAGUGAGGCACGUAUGCCUUUUUGUAUGUACUUUAUGAAUAAGGAUCGGCUAACUCCGUGCCAGCAGACGCGGUAAUACGGAGGAUACGAGCGUUAUCCGGAUUGGUUGGGUUUAAAGGGAGCGUAGAUGGGUUGUUAAGUCAGGUGUGAAAGUUUGCGGCUCAACCGUAAAAUUGCAAUUGAUACUGGCAGUCUUGAGUACAGUUGAGGUAGGCGGAAUUCGUGGUGUAGCGGUGAAAUGCGUAGAUAUCACGAAGAACUCCGAUGGCGAAGGCAGCUUACUAAACUGCCACUGACACUGAUGCUCGAAAGUGUGGGUAUCAAACAGGAUUAGAUACCCGGGUAGUC
RNAcentral lists this ribosomal RNA (460 nucleotides) under uncultured bacterium. Its description in RNAcentral is "partial 16S ribosomal RNA". It matches the Rfam family "Bacterial small subunit ribosomal RNA", at positions 338 to 795 of the family's 1533-position model. The record is from RNAcentral.